RNAcentral lists this unclassified non-coding RNA (155 nucleotides) under uncultured Paraconiothyrium. RNAcentral's name for it is "sequence contains ITS2". Lineage: Eukaryota; Fungi; Ascomycota; Dothideomycetes; Pleosporales; Didymosphaeriaceae. The record is from RNAcentral.
ACACCCUCAAGCUCUGCUUGGUGUUGGGCGUCUGUCCCGCCUUCGCGCGUGGACUCGCCCCAAAUUCAUUGGCAGCGGUCCUUGCCUCCUCUCGCGCAGCACAAUUGCGUCUGCGAGGGGGCGUGGCCCGCGUCCACGAAGCAACAUUACCGUCU